AGAGUGAACGCUGGCGGCAGGCCUAACACAUGCAAGUCGAGCGGCAGCGCGGGGCAACCUGGCGGCGAGCGGCGGACGGGUGAGGAAUGCAUCGGAAUCUACCCUGUCGUGGGGGACAACGUAGGGAAACUUACGCUAAUACCGCAUACGACCGAGAGGUGAAAGUGGGGGACCGCAAGGCCUCACGCGAUUGGAUGAGCCGAUGCCGGAUUAGCUAGUUGGUGUGGUAAAGGCCCACCAAGGCGACGAUCCGUAGCUGGUCUGAGAGGAUGAUCAGCCACAUUGGGGACUGAGACACGGCCCAAACUCCUACGGGAGGCAGCAGUGGGGAAUAUUGGACAAUGGGCGCAAGCCUGAUCCAGCCAUGCCGCGUGUGUGAAGAAGGCCUUCGGGUUGUAAAGCACGUUUCGUUCGGGAAGAAAUCGUGCGGUUAAUACCCAGUACGGAUGACGGUACCGAAAGAAUAAGCACCGGCUAACGUUCGUGACCAACAGCCGCGGUAAU
Molecule: ribosomal RNA, 504 nt
Filed under: uncultured soil bacterium
Lineage: Bacteria
Description: bacterial SSU rRNA
Rfam family: Bacterial small subunit ribosomal RNA
Source: RNAcentral